This 468-nucleotide ribosomal RNA is filed under the name uncultured bacterium. Its description in RNAcentral is "partial 16S ribosomal RNA". It matches the Rfam family "Bacterial small subunit ribosomal RNA", at positions 28 to 507 of the family's 1533-position model. The record is from RNAcentral.
GACGAACGCUGGCGGCGUGCUUAACACAUGCAAGUCGAACGGAAAGGCCAUGCUCUUGUGGGGUGCUCGAGUGGCGAACGGGUGAGUAACACGUGAGUAAACUGCCCUUGUCUUUGGGAUAACUCUAGGAAACUGGGGCUCAUACAGGAUAGGAGAUCCUGCUGCAUGGUGGGGGUUGGAAAGUUUCGGCGGUUGGGGAUGGAAUCGCGGCUUAUCAGCUAGUUGGUGAAGUAGUGGCUUACAAAGGCUUCGAAGGGUAGCCGGCCUGAGAGUGUGACCGGCCACAUUGGGACUGAGAGACGGCCCAGACGCCUACGGGAGGCAGCAGUGGAGAAUAUUGCACAAUGGGCGGGAGCCUGAUGCAGCAACGCCGCGUGCGUGAUGACGGCCUUCGGGUUGUAAACCUCUGUCGCCGGUGACGAAGCGUGAGUGACGGUAAUGGGUAAGGAAGCACCGGCUAACUACGUG